CCCCCCGUUUCUUCCAGAUUUGUCAGCCUUCUGGUUCGGCUUAAGUUUUUGCUUUUUGUCCUGUCCCUCUUCUUUUUCCCUUUUCCUUUUUGUAAUUUGCAGUAUUCAUUGUGUUGUCCUCUUAUCUUGUGAUCCUUUGUUUUGUCUUCUUCCUAUUUCUAAAAUCGCCUUCUUCCAUCCUCGAUCAAUUUCCAUUUUCUAGGUCUGUUUUCAGCUUUCUUGUACGCGGAAAUGGCGCCAAGCUAUGUCAAGUGACAACAACAAGUCACAGAAUAGUAUACCAGGUUAUAAGGUUUAUUCUCUCUUCGAUUCUCUCGUUUCUGAGAUUUGGUGUUUGGUUUCAGAGUUAUUCGUGCUUUUGUGUUUGCGUGCGUGUGUGUUAGAAAGAAACAGAACUGCGUAGUAUGUGUUGAGUGUCUCCACGAUCACGAA
This 432-nucleotide long non-coding RNA is filed under the name Carica papaya (papaya). Its description in RNAcentral is "long non-coding RNA (CPAP_LNC013564)". The record is from RNAcentral. Lineage: Eukaryota; Viridiplantae; Streptophyta; Magnoliopsida; Brassicales; Caricaceae.